This 497-nucleotide ribosomal RNA is filed under the name uncultured bacterium. RNAcentral's name for it is "partial 16S ribosomal RNA". It matches the Rfam family "Bacterial small subunit ribosomal RNA", at positions 28 to 507 of the family's 1533-position model. The record is from RNAcentral.
GAUGAACGCUGGCGGCGUGCCUAAUACAUGCAAGUCGAGCGAACAGACGAGGAGCUUGCUCCUCUGACGUUAGCGGCGGACGGGUGAGUAACACGUGGAUAACCUACCUAUAAGACUGGGAUAACUUCGGAAAACCGGAGCUAAUGCCGGAUAAUAUAUUGAACCGCAUGGUUCAAUAGUGAAAGACGGUUUUGCUGUUACUUAUAGAUGGAUCCGCGCAGUAUUAGCUAGUUGGUAAGGUAACGGCUUACCAAGGCAACGAUGCGUAGCCGACCUGAGAGGGUGAUCGGCCACACUGGAACUGAGACACGGUCCAGACUCCUACGGGAGGCAGCAGUAGGGAAUCUUCCGCAAUGGGCGAAAGCUGGACGGAGCAACGCCGCGUGAGUGAUGAAGGUCUUCGGAUCGUAAAACUCUGUUAUUAGGGAAGAACAAAUGUGUAAGUAACUAUGCACGUCUUGACGGUACCUAAUCAGAAAGCCACGGCUAACUACGUG